This 244-nucleotide long non-coding RNA is filed under the name Elaeis guineensis (African oil palm). RNAcentral's name for it is "long non-coding RNA (EGUI_LNC008946)". The record is from RNAcentral. Lineage: Eukaryota; Viridiplantae; Streptophyta; Magnoliopsida; Arecales; Arecaceae.
GGCUUAGGUUCGAACCUGCGGGGUCACACACAUUAGAGGUUCCUAUCUGAUCUGAUGGCUGAUGUAGAAUCCUACAUGUUUGAGACUCAGUGAUCGAGAAUUAGGAUUCUCUGAUCAUGAGUUCCACACAUUAUGGGUACCGGGGUCAAGAGUCCCACUGGUUGGGACUUUUCGAUCAGGGUUACAUAUCGAUGAAUUUUGAUGCCCGAUUGCCCAUCGGAUUUGGACUCAAUAUUUAUGAGAG